CAAUCAACACUUUAGAAUAAAGUGAUACCCUUAAGCUUGAAAGUGAGAGACUAACCAUAUUAUCCUGACUAAUCAUCAUGAGCUAUCACAAUCAUAAUACUUGCAAAAGAGAAAACAGUGGUUUAAUUAAUUGUAACACCUUCAGGGUGAGAGGAUGGGGGUAAGGGUGGGCAGGAAAGGAGCAAGAUUCUUCCCCAGAUACAUUCUGCAAAUCUGUAGAUGCACCCAAAGUAGAAGAAAAGGGAAAUGAAAAGCUCCAGGUACAUCAUUCAUUCAACUUUACAAGUCUGCCUUAAUGGCCAAAAUAAGCGACAAAGAGCUAGUUUCAAUUUCUUCUUUCCUAUAAGGGGUCUAAAAUGUCAGAGGUACGAGGACUUCUGAGUGGGAAAACUCCUUUGACCAUUGCAGAUGGACGUCUAAAAAAAUGGUCCCGUGCCUUGGGCGUGGAGAGUUCCCGUGAUUUUCUUGGGGGUCACGUGGACAUGGGACUUUAACCCAUGUCUUCCUGUCAGGAAAACUAGGACGCUUCUUGAUUGGCUUCAACAGACCUUUCCACAAACUCUAUAAAAAACCAUUUUGACAUAAUGGGAAUUUGGCUGGUUACUGGGAGGCAUCGAGGGGACCACGCCCUCGUACAGUGAGAAUCCCACCCCCUCCCCUUGUUCCGGUACACGUGGAGGCCCUGGGGGGCAGGAGGAACACGUGAGGCGGGGCUUUGGGGGCCGACACCAAACCGAGGAUGGGCGACUUGUGGAGCAAGGACAGAUGCGCCAUAGGGAGCGUAAAGUCACGUGGGCCAGUCUGACAGGGGGACUGGGCGGGCAAAGGAUUCCACUCUGCAACCCGGAAGUCUCAAGCCAAGACCCCGUCAAGCGGCUGCAACUGUGCUGGCGUCUCUUCAAGGUCUUUUCCAAUUGGAAUUAAAGGACAAAGGUGGUAAAGUUUGAGGAUGUGAACUAGGUUGCUGUGUUGGACAUUGGAGCACAAGAGCCAUCAUGUUCCAUUUAAAUCAUGAGAGAGAAUGGAAGAAAAUCUUGAGGACCAUUUGAAGGAUUUGGUCUUAAAUAACUAAGUGACAGAAUCUAUUCAUACUUACAUCAAGAUAGCUAUAUGGUUUCCAGAGGAAGUUGGGAUGGGCACUCAGGCACUAAUGUAUCCAGAAUCAUCUUUAGUCAAUAGAUUGUCAGCUCUAGUUGUAAACAAUUUAAUUCUUAUUAAGAUCUCAACAGAUACUACAAACAAGUAACUUGGACCCAUUAUCUGUACACUUAGACCAUCCAGUCAACAAGUGCAGAAUCAUGAAGGAGUAUAGUCAAGAGGAGGCAGUAAAUAUUCCAAGAUCAGUAACUAUGACUUCAGAAACAGAGUCCUCAAAAUUUGACUGGUUAUUUCCUAGUGCUUAUAACAGAAGAAACAUUUGAAGCAGAAACUUAGAAAAGAGGUGUGUUCUUACUGUAGGAGGGAGCUGUGAAUCAAGAAUCAGCUAGUCAUUGACAUUAGCA
This 1502-nucleotide long non-coding RNA is filed under the name Monodelphis domestica (gray short-tailed opossum). Its description in RNAcentral is "lncRNA (ENSMODG00000050894.1)". Lineage: Eukaryota; Metazoa; Chordata; Mammalia; Didelphimorphia; Didelphidae. The record is from RNAcentral.